This 253-nucleotide ribosomal RNA is filed under the name uncultured bacterium. Its description in RNAcentral is "partial 16S ribosomal RNA". It matches the Rfam family "Bacterial small subunit ribosomal RNA", at positions 524 to 776 of the family's 1533-position model. The record is from RNAcentral.
UACGGAGGGUGCAAGCAUUAAUCGGAAUUAUUGGGCGUAAAGGGCGCGUAGGCGGAUUUGUAAGUCAGAUGUGAAAUUCCGAAGCUCAACUUCGGAGCUGCAUUUGAAACUGUAAGUCUAGAGGGAUGACGGAGAAAAUGGAAUUCCACGUGUAGCGGUGAAAUGCGUAGAUAUGUGGAAGAACACCUGUGGCGAAAGCGAUUUUCUAGUUAUUACCUGACGCUGAGGCGCGAGAGCAAGGGGAGCAAACAGG